Molecule: small nucleolar RNA, 208 nt
Organism: Cavia aperea (Brazilian guinea pig)
Lineage: Eukaryota; Metazoa; Chordata; Mammalia; Rodentia; Caviidae
Gene: SNORA73
Rfam family: Small nucleolar RNA SNORA73 family
About the family: U17 (SNORA73A and SNORA73B) also known as E1 belongs to the H/ACA class of small nucleolar RNAs (snoRNAs). Vertebrate U17 is intron-encoded and ranges in length from 200-230 nucleotides, longer than most snoRNAs.
Source: Ensembl
CCAACCUGGGCAAAUUAAUAAAACUUUUAAAAGUGCCAGGAGUUGUCCAGGUGGCAUAGGGGAGCAUAGGACUCUGCCCCGUGAUGUACAGUCGCUUUCUACGACGUUGGAGAAGAAGCUGGGCCUUGUGUCUGCGCCUGCAUAUUCCUACAACUUCUCAGAGUCCUUUGGGCAGUGACUGGGGAGAUAAACCAUGCAGGAAACAAUG